This 347-nucleotide ribosomal RNA is filed under the name Salmonella enterica subsp. enterica serovar London. Its description in RNAcentral is "partial 23S ribosomal RNA". It matches the Rfam family "Bacterial large subunit ribosomal RNA", at positions 1084 to 1348 of the family's 2925-position model. Lineage: Bacteria; Pseudomonadati; Pseudomonadota; Gammaproteobacteria; Enterobacterales; Enterobacteriaceae. The record is from RNAcentral.
CCCAGACAGCCAGGAUGUUGGCUUAGAAGCAGCCAUCAUUUAAAGAAAGCGUAAUAGCUCACUGGUCGAGUCGGCCUGCGCGGAAGAUGUAACGGGGCUAAACCAUGCACCGAAGCUGCGGCAGCGAACGUAUCACUUAAAGCGAUUCAGCGGGUUACGAUUGACGGAGCGAAGCGACGUCAAAGCGUAUACAAAGUCGAGUCGGUUUAAGGAUACGUUCGUUGGGUAGGGGAGCGUUCUGUAAGCCUGCGAAGGUGUGUCGUGAGGCAUGCUGGAGGUAUCAGAAGUGCGAAUGCUGACAUAAGUAACGAUAAAGCGGGUGAAAAGCCCGCUCGCCGGAAGACCAA